CCUAUAGAUAACGUAAUUUGGACUGCAGGCUGCUUGGGAUUUUGGUGUCCUUGCGUUGUUGCUGGGCGUGUUGCAGAGAUUGUCUCCAAAGGACAUACCAGUUGUUUUCAGCAUGGAUGUUUGUAUGCACUAAUCAAUUCCUAUACUCACUUAGCAUUCGGCAUUCCUUGUGGUUUCUGCAUUACUUGCGGCUUUCGAACCAAACUGGGGGAGCAGUACAAGUUGGAGGAAAAACCUUGCAACGAUUGCUGCGUUCAAUUCUUCUGUCACUCCUGUGCCUUGUGCCAAGAAUACCGUGAGCUCGAGAACCGUGGUUUCAAUGUUGCCAUUGGUACGUACAUUCGUUGUUCCCUCCCUCCAAUACAAUUACUUAGAUUCACCGUCUCGGUGCACCUCCUUAUCCACCCUAGUUAGAUUAGAUCAACCGAUACGUGUUAUACACGUGUAAUUAUCUUUUAAAAGAAUUAAACUAUUAAUUCAAGAUCAUUCCUAAUUAACUAGUUAAUUUCAAUGAAUGUUAGGCUGGGAAUGAAAUGCGUCACAGAAUCCUGGAGUGGUGACAACACCAGCCGUGCAGGGUGGCAUGAAUCGUCAGACUGAUCACAAAUAGUAAUAGUGUUGGCUUGAUGCUUCAUACCAUCUGGAAUAAAAGAAUUAGCUUUCGUUUUUGUUUGCCGUCUCUUGAAUAAACUUAUUUUGGCUUUGGAGAGUCAUCUUAGUCUGUUGAGUUUGGGUGUGAAUAAUUUAAAGACUUUAUGUGUUCAUUUGCUUAUUUGUGGGCUUGUCUCACCAUGGUAUUCAAUCAAGUUGACUUUUUAUGUUUUGUUCAAGUCUCUUUAGAUUGUGGACUCUCUUUUAUCAAAUAUUGUUUUAAUGUUUGUAUCAGUUCUUAAUGUUAUAAUAAAAUCACUAUUGUUUCG
Pyrus x bretschneideri (Chinese white pear) is the source of this 920-nucleotide long non-coding RNA. RefSeq lists it as uncharacterized. The record is from RefSeq and is a predicted model, not a curated record. Lineage: Eukaryota; Viridiplantae; Streptophyta; Magnoliopsida; Rosales; Rosaceae. The transcript has 2 exons.